This 206-nucleotide ribosomal RNA is filed under the name uncultured bacterium. RNAcentral describes it as "partial 16S ribosomal RNA". It matches the Rfam family "Bacterial small subunit ribosomal RNA", at positions 568 to 773 of the family's 1533-position model. The record is from RNAcentral.
CGCGUAGGCGGAUUGGCAAGUCCGGUGUGAAAUCUCACAGCUCAACUGUGAAACUGCAUCGGAAACUGCCAGUCUAGAGUGCGGGAGAGGAGAGUGGAAUUCCCAGUGUAGAGGUGAAAUUCGUAGAUAUUGGGAGGAACACCAGUGGCGAAGGCGGCUCUCUGGACCGCAACUGACGCUGAGGCGCGAAAGCUAGGGGAGCAAAC